CCAAGAUUGACUUUACGGGCCAAUGAAGUCCUUUGGAAAAGCAUCCUGGUACCUUGCUAACAGGGUUCCCAGCACCUUACCACAAAUGUCUCUUAUUAAAUACCUGAUUGCUUGCACCAUAGGCCUAGGUUUGGGAGCCCCUCUGCAUCACUGCCUCCUAAAAUAAGAGGACGAUUCAGAGGAGGGAACUGUCAGACCCGAGGUAGGCCUCCCCUAAAUGUUUCUCAAUGGCAUAAUGAUUAUUUUGAAUUAAAGUUACUGAAGAAGCAGCCAACGUAAGGGACACUCUGACCCUCUUUUCUGUCUCCCUGAAAACAGGAAAUAAAUUUCUCACGUAAAAAGUGCA
Kogia breviceps (pygmy sperm whale) is the source of this 346-nucleotide non-coding RNA. The record is from RefSeq and is a predicted model, not a curated record. Lineage: Eukaryota; Metazoa; Chordata; Mammalia; Artiodactyla; Physeteridae.